Molecule: ribosomal RNA, 470 nt
Filed under: uncultured bacterium
Lineage: Bacteria
Description: bacterial SSU rRNA
Rfam family: Bacterial small subunit ribosomal RNA
Source: RNAcentral
GAUGAACGCUGGCGGCGUGCCUAAUACAUGCAAGUCGAACGAGGCCCUCUUCCUUCGGGAGGAGGUGUCUUAGUGGCGAACGGGUGAGUAACACGUUGGUGACCUACCCCGAAGAGGGGGACAACCCCGGGAAACUGGGGCUAAUACCCCAUGUGAUCCUAAGGAUUAGAUGCCUAAGGAUGAAAUGGAGCAAUUCGCUUCGGGAGGGGCCUGCGGCCUAUCAGCUAGUUGGUGAGGUAAUGGCUCACCAAGGCGACGACGGGUAGGGGACCUGAGAGGGUGACCCCCCACACUGGAACUGAAACACGGACCAGACACCUACGGGUGGCAGCAGUAGGGAAUAUUGCACAAUAGGCGAAAGCCUGAUGCAGCAACGCCGCGUGCGCGAUGAAGGCCUUAGGGUUGUAAAGCGCUUUUCUGGGGGACGAGAAAGGACGGUACCCCAGGAAUAAGUCUCGGCUAACUACGUG